This 117-nucleotide small nuclear RNA is filed under the name Phaseolus vulgaris (common bean). Its description in RNAcentral is "snRNA U5". It matches the Rfam family "U5 spliceosomal RNA". From Rfam's summary of the family: U5 RNA is a component of both types of known spliceosome. The precise function of this molecule is unknown, though it is known that the 5' loop is required for splice site selection and p220 binding, and that both the 3' stem-loop and the Sm site are important for Sm protein binding and cap methylation. The record is from Rfam by way of RNAcentral. Lineage: Eukaryota; Viridiplantae; Streptophyta; Magnoliopsida; Fabales; Fabaceae.
AGCCAUGUAGUGAAUACAAAGCGAAUUAUUCUUUCGCCUUUUACUAAAGAAUACCGUGUUUUCUCUACAUAUAGUGGCAUACGCUAAUUUUUUAUAGGGGUCUGCAUUGUGGACCCU